This 173-nucleotide unclassified non-coding RNA is filed under the name uncultured Eurotiomycetes. RNAcentral describes it as "sequence contains ITS2". Lineage: Eukaryota; Fungi; Ascomycota; Eurotiomycetes. The record is from RNAcentral.
UCAACCUCUCAAGCUUUGGCUUGUCGUUGGACCUUGCAGAUGCCGGUAAUCGGCGGGGGCAGGUCUUCAAGCUAGUGGCGGAGUUCGGAGUGGACCCCGGAUACAACGAGCUCUCUGUAGCAUGUAUCAAGGUGGCCCGCCGACCCUAGCCUUGUCGAAAAGUCUUUAACCAU